This 13794-nucleotide long non-coding RNA is filed under the name Coffea arabica (coffee). RNAcentral's name for it is "long non-coding RNA (CARA_LNC007974)". The record is from RNAcentral. Lineage: Eukaryota; Viridiplantae; Streptophyta; Magnoliopsida; Gentianales; Rubiaceae.
UUUUUUUUUUUUUUUUUUUUUUUUUUUUGUCAACACAGGGGUGUCCGGGUCAAGACCCGAAGGCGGCCCGACUAAUCCCCUGCGCCUGGAGUAUAGCGCCACCCCAACCGCACCCAGGCGUUAGGUGAGGUUCGAUCCCACGACCUUGCGAAUGGUUUUCCAGCCGCAGACCGGGUGAUCUAACCCCGGGGGCGUAUUUUUAGUGUUUAAAAGUGUUAUUUUUUACAAACGCAACGCAACCUUAAAAGAGCUUUAGUAGUUUGGAAUAUGGAUCCAAGGUCUUGGUUUGGUUUGAGUUCGCUGUUGUGUGAUGUGGAAGUACCGAGGUUCUCUUGGAUGCCAAAACAAUUAGACGAAUGAAAGCCCACAGAUGAAUCAGUACCAGGCCAGAUUAGUGGCCCAUAUUGAUAUAUUCCACUUGAAAGAUAGUUGAUACCAAGAACUUGGGUCAUCUCCGUAUCGGUCGGAAUAUGCCCAAGCGAAUGUCGAAUCAUGGUGUACUACUACAGCCUUCGGCCCCUCGGUGACCAAACACCUGAGUUCGGCCACCAUCGCCCCGCCAAUCCCAGAUGAGAGAAUACAAUAUAGGGAUAAUUUCAGAAAGAUUUCUGACAAUUUCAUUGAGCUUCCUGAAAUUUGAAAAAUUAUACAUACCUCCCUUAUCAUUUCAAAUGAUAAUUUUGCCCUUAAAUAUUUUAAUGAAAUUUCUUAUUUGACAGAUUUUUUUUUGUUAAAAUUACGCUGUAUUCUUUUUUGGCAAUUAUUUUAUGAUUUUUUGUACAUGAAGUAAUUUUGUUUUCAAUUAAUUUGUUUAGAAAGUAGAUUAUUUAUCAAAUUUAUUUAUUUAUAUUAUCAAUACAUUUCCUAACCACCUUUUAUAAAAAAAAAUACUAUAAUAUUUUUUCAAAAAAUUAUUUCAAAUAAUUUACUAUCCAAACACAUGCACUGUAUUUUUUUUAGAGUCGGAAAGGUAUCCCUACCCCCUAAUACAUCCCUCUAAUUUAAAUAAAAAGGUCAAAAGAAAGAAUCGCAAAACGACGUGGUAUCAGACUAAGCGUCGCAGCUAUCACUCUUGCACUUCGACAUCGAUCCGAAGUUCCAAACGCCGUCGUCCGGGAAAACACGAUACACUUAUCCCGCUGCAAACCUGUGUCCGAAAACGCUACUAAAGUAAAAACCAAUUUUCGUCUGCUCCAGUUUUCUGGCUCCUCAUCAUCGGCAACGGACUAAACCCUCCCGUCGCGGAAGUCAGUGGAGUUUCUCUUCUUGCUUCAAUUCUUUUAGUCGAUAAUUUUUGAAUUUUGCCGCUUUUUCAAAAAUAUAAACCCUAGUCCACAAGGCACCCCACCGCACUCGAAUUCAUCGGCUUCCUUCUGGAAAUUGCACUUCUUAAUGAUAAUUUUACUGUAAUUUUUGUUUAAAAAAUCAGGUUCUUCAAUUGGACUUUCAGGUUAGAGCAGCUGAUUCAGCUCCGGGAAUUUUCUUCCACCGCUCUCCUCAUGGUAAUUUUCCAAAUUAACGAAUUCAACUUCUUUAUUGGAAUCUUAAUUUUGCUGAUUUAUGUUGUAUAUCGUAUAAUAUCAUUCUAAAAUUAACUUGCUGAAGUAAAGUUUAGGUUUUUAUUGUUUUAAGGUUUUUGUGCUUUCUAUUGCCAGCUGUUAUGACUGUUUAUUGCUUUGUGAAUUAAUAUGUUCGCUUAUGGAAAAUAGAUGGUCGUAGUAGUUUUAUGCUUAUCUACUGUGUCGUAAAUUUCAAAGUGACAAUAGAUUUAUUGGUCGCAGGCUACCCUUGCUGAUUCAUUCCUGGCAGAUCUUGAGGAAUUGUCUGAUAAUGAAGCUGAUAGUCUUGUGAGUGCUUUUUUUCUUCACAUUUCACGGCUUUCACCAUUUAUGCUUUCUUUGUUCCUCAAAGAUGCAUGAAUUUUCUGUUGGACGAUGACAUUUGCCUUGAGUUUUGGGAUUUAAUUGGGUAUGUGCUUUUUCAGAAUGAGGAUAAUGGGGAUGCCGAGCAAAUGGAAGAAGAUGUUGAUGGGGACUUGGCAGACAUCGAAGCUCUGAAUUAUGAUGACCUGGACAGUGUCUCCAAGCUACAUAAGACACAGCGGUAUAAUGAUAUAAUGCAGGUUAGCUAAAAUUUUUAUUUGAUCAUCAUUUCAUUUUCGUGUUACAACUCCAUUAUUACAUUUUUUUCCCACUUAUGGUUGAUCUGCAUACUGCCUUGGAUAAAUUAGUUGUUGGUUCUUAUGUUGCAGAAAGUUGAAGAUGCACUUGAGAAGGGGUCUGACAUUUCCAAUCAAAGCAUUGUUUUGGAGGAUGAUCCUGAGUAUCAGUUGAUUGUAGACUGCAAUGCAUUGUCAGUUGAUAUUGAGAAUGAAAUUGUCAUAAUCCACAAUUUUAUUCGUGAUAAGUAUCGCUUGAAGUUUCCAGAACUAGAAUCUCUGGUUCAUCACCCGAUUGAUUAUGCUCGUGUGGUUAAGAAAAUUGGAAAUGAGAUGGAUCUUACCCUUGUUGAUCUUGAAGGUCUUCUGCCUUCGGCCAUUAUCAUGGUUAUUUCAGUUACUGCAUCAACUACCAGUGGAAAGCCACUUCCAGAUGAAGUCUUGCAGAAGACAAUUGAUGCAUGUGAUAGAGCUCUCACUCUAGAUUCAGCCAAGAAAAAGGUCCUUGAUUUUGUGGAGAGUCGGAUGGGGUAUAUUGCUCCUAAUGUUUCGGCUAUUGUUGGAACUGCAGUUGCUGCAAAACUCAUGGGAACGGCUGGUGGUCUUUCUGCACUGGCAAAGAUGCCUGCUUGCAAUGUACAGCUUCUUGGUGCCAAGAGGAAGACCUUAGCAGGGUUUUCAACGGCAAAUUCCCAAAUCCAUGUUGGUUAUCUUGAGCAAAGUGAAAUAUUUCAGAGUACGCCACCUACCUUGAGAAAACGUGCCUGUCGACUCUUGGCUGCAAAGUCUACCUUGGCAGCACGUAUAGACUCUAUAAAAGGUGAUUCAACUGGGAAAGUGGGAAGAUCUUUACGUGAUGAAAUUCUCAAAAAGAUAGAGAAAUGGCAAGAACCCCCUCCUGCAAAGCAGCCUAAACCUCUGCCUGUUCCUGAUUCUGAGCCCAAGAAAAAGAGAGGUGGUCGAAGGCUGCGGAAGACGAAAGAGAGGUAUUGCAGAUUUUUUUCUUUCUCUACGGAUUAAUUAAAGUUAGCUUUCUUCAGUUUGAAAGUUUCAGAGUUAAUGUAUUCCUUUACUUUGAUUCAGAUAUGCUUUGACAGACAUGAGGAAGCUGGCAAAUAGGAUGGCUUUUGGAGUUCCUGAAGAGAGCUCUUUGGGUAAUGAUCAUCAUCCACCUAAAAUUCAUCGAUGAAUGCGAUUCGAGUCAUCUAUCUACUUUAUAGAGUUGCUAUUGUAAAUUGCUCGAAGCUGAAUGUUCAGUUUUAGACAUAAAGUAAUGCAAGUGCUUGCUGCCAAUCAUGGUAGUUUAUGUUACAAGCAAAUAGAUUAUACUUCUGAUUUCAUGCUUGGAAUCUUGAAAAAGAGGAGAGGAAUCAAUGUUCGUAAGUGGUAACUUAGAACAAGGUCAUAAUGGUUAUGCUUUGCCUGUUGGGAAAGCAGUGAAGCUUUGAGAUUAUGACAUCAAACUGUUUCCCCUUAGUGGUAAAAACGUGCUUAUGCAAAUAUGUGCUGCUAUUUGCGUGUCUAAUAUGUCUGGCUGUUCCAUCUAUUACCUUAUUUUGAAAGACAUAUAAAAGCAAAUCUGUGUUGCUACUUAUGUUCAGAAGUUCCAUGCAUGUAUAAUUUUUGUGCUAUGACUAUUCUGUCAUGGGAUGGAGUCCUUCUCACUGUUUAUAUUGUCCAUGGGAAUAGGUGAUGGGCUUGGCGAAGGGUAUGGAAUGCUUGGUCAAGCUGGUAGUGGAAAAUUGCGUGUAUCAUCAGCUGGUCCUAGCAAGCUUUCUGCAAAAGUAGCUAAGAAGUACGUCUCUUCUUGCCUCUUCAUCUGUUUCUGAUUCCUCCUAGUGGAUCUAAGUUGCAGCCUUUUUUCCCUCCUUAAAAAAUUAUUUUCUGCUGAUUUGGCGAUCAUUCUGAUUUCUACGUGUAGUUUUCGGCCUUAUAGUCUUCAUAUGUUUCUAGGUUCAAGGAAAAGCAGUAUGGAAGCAGUGGUGCUACCUCAGGACUUACCUCCAGUUUAGCCUUCACACCUGUGCAGGUUUGAUGCAUUACUGACUAUUUAAUCUCCUAGUAACUCUUGAGCCUCACUAUUUGUAAAGUAAUCAGCAUGAAUCAAGCAACCAGAUGGCUUAGGUACUUUCUUAGGUCUUGAGGGUAGUGUUAUCUUUUCUACUCCCAUUAUUUAUCAGUUUCUCAUCUGAGCAAAGGCAUAAGAUUGAACAAAUCGAGAAACUUGAAGUCAGAAGAAUAUGAUUCUUCUUUUAAAUGGUUGUCCUUUUGUCCAUAUAGACUUUGGUAAGAAUCCUUUAAGAGAGUUCUUUUAUCAGUUGCAGUUUAUAGUUCUCUAUUUAGACCUUUUAAGCAUAAGCUGCUUCAUGUAGAAACUGAACUGUGAGGUGUGUUGGACUGUUAGUGGCCUUGUGCUAUGAGUUGGUGUCGAACUAUGAUGCAAAGAUUCCGUUAUGCAUGAUAGAACUUAGAAGAUACAGUGAAGUUACAUAAACUUCUCAAACUAAGUCAUCUGUUUAACUAUUUAAGUGGAUGAAGUAGCCAAUCUGUCUGUUUUGGGGAUGUGAUAUGAUUUUGUUUUUGCCUAUGGGUUCGAAACAAAAUGGUUGUUGUUUUUUUCCCCUUUUUUCUUUUGGGUGGCUGGAACAAUUUUUUUGUCCUCGCAUAUGUAAUAAAUACAUGCCUAGUAUUGUUGCUUUAAGUCGAUACUUGUCUAGUAUUGUUGCUUUAAGUCGAUCUUUGUUCUCUUUCUCCUCCUUAGAGGCCCAAUGCUCCUUCACCUUUUGUUGAAGAUCUUGCUUUUUAUGUUUCAUAGGGGAUUGAGCUUAGCAAUCCUCAAGCACUUGCAAAUCAGCUUGGAAGUGGAACUCAAAGCACCUAUUUCUCGGAAACUGGUACAUUUUCAAAGAUAAAGCGGACAUGAAUGAAGCAUUUGGAGGCACGCAGCAGUGGUUUCAAUAUUCAAUUUUCCUUUACUUUCAUGAGAUUCAGACGAUGGAUGGUGAUUUUCUUGGGAGUAAGAGGUUUUAUGUAGGCACCACCUCGUGAAUACGAGAGGUUCCUAGUAUUGGUUGAAUGUACAUACUUUUUACCUGAUGUAACCUUCUCGGGAUGCUGAUCACAUUGUAGGAUUAUGUUGUUGCACUUAAUCAUUUAUUUGACUAAGUGUGUCCAUUUAUGUGUUUGAGUUUUGAAGAUUUUGGUAAUUAUCACCGUGUAAAGGUCUGUGACUGAAGAAGAUUAUUUUACCAGUACGAGGCAUAGUUUGCACGGCUGGCAAGACAACCCUUUUUUUUUUCUUUUGGGUUGAGAACUCAAAAGAAAAUUUAUUUAAAUUACAAAAUCAUCGGGGCAAUCUUCUUAAAGAAGUGGCUAAUUUGAUCCACCUGUGUUAAUGACAAAAACUCCCUUUAUGAUUUGGCAGAGUUGCAGUUUACUCCUUAAAAUAAUUACGUGCAUGGUGAUUUUGGACAGAGAAUUUUGCUAUGUUUGGAUUGCUUGUUUCUGUCGGAAAAUAUUAUCGUUUUCCGUGAUCACAUUUCCCUAUCACUUUUUUCCCUCACAUAUAUCAAAUCGCUGCAGUAAUUUUUCCAUGAAAAAUGACAAAAAAUGCAAUCCAAACACAACCUAAGUCUUCCAAUUAAAAUUCAAUAAAAAAUAUUUUAUUGUAAAAAAUCAAAUCUUGUAAUUUGAACAUCAAAAGAAUCUGGGAUAACUUUAGAAGCCUACCCUGAGGUUUCUGAUAAUUUCACUGAGCUCCUCUGAAGUUUGAAAAAUUAUACUUACCUCCCUUGAUUUGAUAGUUUUGGUAACAAAAUUUUAAAAUAAUAUUGAUUUGGUCAAUUAUUUUUAAUGAAUACCCAAAAAUAUCCUUGUGUAAUGAGUUUUAAUUUAUUUUCCUGUACAAUUAUAAGAUUAUCUAAUAUCAUUAUAAAAAAAAAGGUGCCAAAUUUUUCAUGUUCAUACCUACUAUUUGAUAAACAACUAUAAUAAUAAUUUUAUCACUAUGAUAGGAUACUUUUGAUGGUACUUUUUUAUUAUGGAUUUAGAUUUAUAAGAUAGAAAAGAAAAUGUUGAAAUAAUUCAUUUAGAGUUUAUGAAUUUUUCGGGUAGUGGAAUUAUCAUAAUUUGGUAGUGAUUUUGGGCCAUUUUUUUUUUAAUUUAGUACCAAAAAAUAGAAAACAAAGAUCAGCAAAAACAUUGGAUUACAUAUAAAAUUAAUUUGUUAAAAAAAUCACUAGUUCGAUAUUUGGUUACAAUAAAAACUAGAAGGGUAUUUUCAUCAAUUCAAAUGUUUUAAUAUUCAACCUGAUGAGUGUGACUGAAAUAGAGGGUACAGUACGAAGAAAUAAGCGAUAGAGAACAGACCACACAACUUUGGAUCAAAUGGUAAGGGAGUUUUUGUCUUUAAGCCAAAUAUGAACAACGAAAGUUUUGGCCAAACGGUGCUUAUAAUGUUGCCCAACUUUUGACAAGUAAUACGUGUCAUCCCAUGUUAGAAGGAUUAUUCCAUGAUUACUGGAGAAAUGAUCUUAUGGAAGAUGUAAGAUUAGGGGUUCCAAGAUUACAACAUGACGAGAUAACAAGACAAGACCAAUAUCUACGUCUUCCUUUUGGAGUUCAGCAAACUGAAAUCCUAGUUACCAUAUACUUACCAAACAUGACGUAGAACAGGAGAAAAAAUAAAUCCUUCGUAAUCCAAUGCGGUGCAGGAGUAGCAUUUAGUCAUUCAACUGUUUUCGUCCACUUGAACAAUAGGACAAGAGUUAUAUUAGUCAUCAAAAUUCAAAGAUAAGCUUUGAUCCACCCCAGGCUUACUACGUACUACUUGUAUUUAUUCCAACGGUUCUGACCCAAUAACAACAACAAAGAAAGAGCUCAUCAUAAUGCUGGCACCCUAUUCUUGCAAUCUUAUCUACUUUAUUGAUGGAUUGAAAUAAAGUGAAAAGUCCACUAAUUAUCAAUCAUGCUUCUUUUCAUACUUACAUGUCAGCAAAAGCAUUGCAACCAAACCAAAUGAUGUUUGGUAAGUCAUCCCAUUCAGCUCUUCACCAUCGCGUGCAACCAAUUUCCAUAUUCUCGGAGUUUACUAUUAUAUAUUUAUUAGCUCCGUCUUGCUUGGGAUGUCAAUUUUUUAUAAAUAUGAUGGUCUUAUUUGACAAGCAAGUUUCUAGUCAAAGUUUAUCUGCUAUAAAUUUUUUAAUAAUUUUAAUUAUAGUAAUCUCAAAAAAAAUUUUAAAAAUUUUAAAUUAUAAAUUUCAAAAAUUUAUGCAUUUAAAAAAAAAAUUUUACAACUUUUACGGUAAAUUACAGUAAAAUUUUAGACAGACACUCAAAAAAACUCACUUGUGAAACGGAGCCCAAUAUUUGUUAAUCAACUUUUUAAGUUACGUAUAUUAAAUUACUAUAAUAUUAUUUUUAUAAAAACUCUUGAAAAUUACAAUCCAAUCAUGAUCCAUUUGACAUUUUUUUAAUCAUUCCUUCUCUCUCAUUCAUAUCUCCUGUAUCUAUUAUAUUCAUCCUUCCACUGUCCCGGAUAAAGAAAAAGGUACCAACUUCAUACGACUCUUCUCCAGAAAAGAAAUUUACCAAAAACCGGAAGAAAUUUUUUUUAAAAAAAAGGUUGGUGCAGCUACGAAUAAGUAGUCUUGACUUCUCAGAGUUUAUUGGAUUGAAGGCUAGGAGAAGAAUGGCGGCUAAAAGGGUCUCAUCGCUUCUGCUCUCUCGUUCUUUUACAUCUUCUCUUGCUUCCCGGCUAACCGGAGGUAUUCAUUCAUACACCUGUCUAUGUAUGUUCACGCAUGUAUAGCAUUGUAUAUACGAUCCUCGACAGUAUUUGGAUGAAACGUGUAAGUAUUCACGUGAAGUUGUGUUGGGAGACGUUAAAGUGAAGUGGAUGAUUUUUGUCGUUUCAUCUGACUGAUCGGUGAUCGCCCGUCUAUCUCUGUUUUCAUCACUUUCCGUUCUUUUCUAGUAAUUUGUUUAUCCAUCACAUAUGUUUUGUUUUUAGAUCUUUUUUAUCUUCUUUAAUCAUGUAUAUGAUGAAACCGAUCUAUGUUGGGAUAGACAGGUUCAUUGUGACUCUGUACUGUAGUGCACUGUUGAAAUUCUUGGUCAAAGAUGAGAAGCUAGAAAGGCAAAUAGUGAAUGACUGAAGAAUGAUGCAGCAGAGCAAUUUGUAAAUUUUUAGUAGAGUUCUUAUUUGGACUGCUUUUGAAAUGUGAAAUAAUUUACUUGGAAGAUAUAUUUCCUGCAUUCAUUCAUGGGGUUCAGUCUAUAUUCACUUUGAUGACUACGUAAAACAGGAACUUUCUGAUUGCCUUCCUGUAAUAUGCAACCUGAUCUGGUUUUCUUGUCAUGAAAUUUACCGGCAAAAAAUUAGAUGAUGUCAGAUGCACAAAAGCGACACUUAACACACGAUGAUGGAUUUACAAUUUUCUGCCAAAUAUGAUGUCGAUUUUUGUCAAGGUCUUUUCUUGACACUUGAUUAUAAGCUUAAUGCCUUUGUACUGUUUACUCUGUUCUCUCAAGCUAGAUUGUGAUAAUGUGAUACUUAGAUUCUAAUAUGCCAUUGUGAGUAGCUGUUGCCUGAUUCAUCUGUUAAACUAAGUCGUUGACUAUUUUGCUCAGGAAAAAGUGCUUGCCAAGCAAGAGCAAUUUCUCGGUAUAGCACUGCUGCUGCUCUCGAGGAGCCAAUUAAGCCACCGGUUAAUGUGGAAUACACUAAGCUUCUCAUUAAUGGUCAAUUUGUUGAUGCAGCCUCAGGUGUGAUUUUUGUCGCAAUGCUUGCCAUUAUGUGUACUCCUCUUCCAUCGCCUUUUACUAUAUUUUUAGUUUUUGCUUUCUUCUCACUACCAGGGAAGACAUUUCCAACUCUGGACCCUAGAACAGGGGAAGUGAUUGCGCAUGUUGCUGAAGGUGAUGCAGAAGAUGUCAACAGAGCUGUGGCUGCUGCUCGCAAGGCUUUUGAUGAAGGACCCUGGCCCAGGCUGACUGCUUAUGUAAUCAAUUGUCUUCCUCGUUCUUGAAUGAUUUCAAUGGAGAACUAUUUUGAUUAUGUUUAUUGCUCGUGGUGCAGGACCGGCAAAGAAUAUUGCUACGCUUCGCUGAUUUAGUUGAGAAGCAUAACGACGAAAUUGCAGCACUAGAGACUUGGGAUAAUGGCAAGCCAUAUGAACAAGCAGCUAAAAUUGAAGUUCCUAUGUUUGUGCGCCUCAUGCGAUAUUAUGCUGGUAGGUACAUUGGGCUCUCUGCCAAUUUUGUUGUUCUAUGUGACUGCUCUAUGUGGCAUCGCAUGAUUUUUAAUCUAUCUGCUCUUCAGGUUGGGCCGACAAGAUUCAUGGGAUGACCGUUCCUGCUGAUGGACCUUAUCAUGUUCAAACUCUGCACGAACCCAUUGGUGUUGCUGGACAAAUUAUUCCGUGGAACUUCCCUCUCCUAAUGUAUGCUUGGAAGGUUGGGCCUGCAUUAGCAUGUGGCAACACCGUUGUGCUUAAGACAGCAGAGCAGACACCAUUAUCUGCUCUAUAUGUGACAAAGCUGUUGCAUGAGGUAACUGUCAAACCCAGAACUUCGUUAGUGAAUGAACAACUGUUCAUUUCAAGUAAUGUUGCUUUACUUUUCCAAUCCUGUGAUACGGAACAGAAUUUAAGUUUGUUAUCUCAUUUUUUCAUUGCCUCUUUUACAGGCUGGGCUUCCAUCAGGUGUUCUGAAUGUGGUGUCUGGCUUUGGUCCAACAGCUGGCGCAGCUCUUUGCAGCCAUAUGGAUGUGGACAAGGUAAAAUAUAGUGUCUCCGUAACUGACUGAGGUUUGCUGCAGAUAUUUUAAAAGAAUGCUUGUAUAGCCUAAUUUUGAGAGUUACAUGCUUUCCUUUAUUUUAGUCCCUUAGCUAAACAACUCGAGAGAAAAGAUCAUUCCACUACCUUUCCGUUGGUGGCUAGUGGUAUUUCUAGGUGCUACUUAAUAUCAUGGGUGUUAAAUGCCUUUGGCUACUGUUUGGAUUAUAAAGAGUGCAAUUGUUCUAACUUUGGUCAAAUCCCGUUUAUCACUGUUCUUUAUACUUUAGUAAGUUUGGUUCCUCUCUACUUUCAGCUUGCCUUCACUGGAUCAACAGAAACUGGAAAGAUUAUUCUUGAAUUGUCUGCUAGAAGCAACCUUAAGCCAGUGACUUUGGAACUUGGAGGCAAAUCUCCUUUUAUUGUUUGUGAGGAUGCUGAUGUGGACAAUGCUGUCGAGCUAGCCCACUUUGCACUUUUCUUUAACCAGGUAUCUACUACUUCUUGCUCCUCAAUCUGGUAGGUCGUGGAAGAUAAGUUCUACUGAUAGUCUAAGCAUGUUCUACUUAAUUCUCAGGGACAAUGUUGCUGUGCUGGCUCCCGCACAUAUGUUCAUGAACGUGUUUAUGAUGAAUUUGUGGAGAAAGCCACUGCACGUGCAUUGAAACGCAGUGUUGGAGAUCCAUUCAGGCAAGAAAUAGAACAAGGUCCUCAGGUAAACUUCUGAUUUGCUGUGACGGACAUUCACCAACAAAAGACUGAUCAUUACAUAUGCUGUCUCUAAUUUAACUAUUUCUUGGAAGAGUGCAACAUAGUUCAUUUAAUUGCUUUCCUCAGAUACAUGCAAAGCAGAGAUACAGAGAACUGCCAAAAUAUUGUAUUAGAAAGACCAGCAAUUAUUUUCCUUAAUGGCAUAAAAAUGCAAAAAAUUCCUUCUUUUCUUUGUCUUCAACUGAAAAAUAAAUUCAGCAUUUAUGUGCCAGGUUGACUCAGAACAGUUUGAGAAAAUUUUGAGAUAUAUUAGAGCUGGAGUCGAUAGCGGUGCUACCCUUGAAACUGGAGGUGACAGACUGGGUGAAAAGGGGUACUACAUUAAGCCUACUGUUUUCUCUAAUGUUCAGGUAAGUCUCUUCGGUGGAGAAACCUGUAAAUUUGCCACUGGAAGUUUCUGUAUGUCAUUACAUUGAUGCUCGCUGCAACGUGUAGGAUGACAUGCUGAUUGCUAAGGAAGAGAUUUUUGGUCCUGUUCAAACAAUCCUGAAAUAUAAGUAUGUUCAGGGAGAAUUUUUGACAUUCAUUCUGUUAUACGAGACAGCCGCAGAUAAAAUUUCUAAUCUCUCCUACAUGCAUUUUUGCAGGGAUCUUGAUGAAGUGACAAGGAGGGCAAAUAGCAGUCGAUAUGGUCUGGCUGCGGGGGUCUUUACGCAGAAUCUUGACACGGCCAACACACUGAUGCGAGCAUUGAGAGCUGGGACAGUAUGGAUCAAUUGCUUUGAUACAUUUGAUGCAGCAAUUCCUUUUGGUGGGUACAAGAUGAGCGGGCAGGGAAGAGAAAAGGGUGAAUACAGUCUCAAGAACUACUUGCAAGUGAAGGCUGUCGUUACUCCAUUGAAGAAUCCAGCAUGGUUGUGAAAUCCUUCUCGUUUGUUUUCUGUUUCUUGGGGGGAGAAAAAAAGUAAAUAAACGGGGGCCAUCCAAAUCUUGGCGCGCAAGUGCAAUGUGGUUGAUAAUGAUGAUAGUAUCUUAGGUUGCUAUUAGCGCUUGAGACAUUUGACUAUUGGUUCUUUCUCUUGGACGGAAAGUUUGAGUUGAAGUUUUACUCCGUUUUCAAAUCUUUUAAUGGUCCCGUUUUUGACAAAGAGUUCUGGCUAGGAUUGUAAUCUAUGCAAGCACCUGGGUCAAAAACUCGACUUGAACUCGUAUUGAUCGAGUUCGAGUCGUUUAAUAGAUCCUAACGAGUCGAGAUUAAGUAUCCAAUAGUAAGACUCGAAAGCUCGUCAAGUCUUAUCGAGUUUUUUAAUUUUAAUUUUUAAUAUAUUAUUAUUAUGAAAUUAUUCUUGUGCUCACCAGAGUAGUUAAAUUUACGAAAUGUUUUAGAUUGUAUGAAAUUUUUUGAAAUGUUUUUUCGCUUAGAAAUUACCAAAAAAAAUGAAAUUUCCAAAUCUUUUUUAUUCGAAUUCGAUAAAACUCGUUUUGACUCGAAUCCAUGCAAGUGGAGUUCAAGUUCUAUAAGCAAUGCAUUGGGCGCGAACUUGAGUUCCAAUAACACUGUUCGCUCGAUCUCGAGUAUCCUUCUUGUAAGUCGUGUCAAACUCGAGUAUGCCAAUACUCAAACUCGACUCAAUUACAUCUCUAAUUCUGACGUUAGUGAAUUUUUCUGAGACGUUGGGGCAGUCACCUCCGAAAGGGUCCAAGAUUAUUGGGCCCGAAUGAGGUCACUAUGAUGUUAGUGAAUUUUUCUGGGCCGUCGGGGCAGUCACUAGACUGAGGCCACUAGACGGCCGGAAUUGACCCCAGAAAUGAGAAAACAAGAAGAAUCUGGGCAACUAGCCGGUCAAGCGCGGACUAUUCUUUUAGGUUUCUUGUUUCUCACGGGUUAAUUUUGGACUCACGUAUCUUGUCGGCCCAGUAACUCACGCAUCUUGAUACAUGUGAAUUGUUCAUUUCUUUUCUUUCUUCUUUCGCAUUUGUAUUCCUACUUGAACUAAGACUUUCAUCCCAUAUAUGAAUAUGAAAGUUACAGGUGGUUAUAUUUUAGGUAACUACAAAUCAGACUUAAACCUAUCAUUUCAAGAGUCUCAUGAAAUCUUUGACGAGAAGGGAAAAAUAAAGAGCUAGCAGUUGGAUAGUCUAUUUUUGCAAGCGUUUGGUGGCCUACCUUCUGGACCGAAAGACAUCUCCUAACUUAACUACUAAAUCCCUGGACCGAAGCGUCAAGAAAAUUUCAAAUGACAGCUGGCAAUCAGGUCCAAGAUAACAUACAGAACCAACUUCCAUCCCAUGGCCCACCGCCUGACCUUUUUAACAAUUUCUGGGCCUAGUUACAACCAAUGAAUGCCAUGGCCCAUCAAGAGUAUCUGACUUUUCUCCCUUCCUUCCCAAGUAGAAAAGGGAACACGGAAAAGAGGAGGUGAGCAUAGCAUUAGAAAUCUUUCUUCAGGACUCACUGCACAAGGAGAUAAAGGGGUUUUUUUUUUUUUUUUUCAAUACUCGGUAUUUGUCUGGACAGACGAGGAUUACAUCACCAUCGGACCAAACGAGUGCACUACACAUCCGUCUGGAUUUAGAGAGCCACACCUGUAACAAUUAGUGGGAGGCAAGGUUUGAACUCUUGUCUCCCAUCCCACCAAGCCUUAAAGGCUUGAUGGUAGCCAAUUCCUUUAUUGGGAGUUGGUUGAGCCUAUGAGCUGUUCAGAAAUGCAUUUUUUUAAUACCUUCAAUCAAUGGCCAUAUGAAUGUUAUAAAGAAUGUUGUCCCCCCCCCCUCCUCUUCCCCAACCCCCACCACAAAAAAGAAGAGAAGAGAAAUGUUGUACAAUAUUAUUAAUUUCAAACGAAGAAUACAACAUCUAGGCCUAAGCUUGUCACUUCUUCCAAGGUUGCAUUUGCCACCUUAAUUUUACUCUGAACUAUGAAAAUAAAUAAAAAUGCAAAGACUGCUAUUUGGCAGUGGUGCAUUCUGGUGGUAGGACUUUGUAUCUGGAUUUAUCUUGGCAAUAGGAGUAAAACAUAUGCUUUCCUCUUGCCCAUUCCAAUCCUGUCGUUUGUAGCUGUGACAAUUUAGCAAACUCUUGUCCAUCCACAGGAUCCAGGCUUGAUACGCUCCUCUUUGAGCAUGCAGCUGAGUUCUCACGAAUGCAG